AUGGAUGAAUGGAGGGUUGGAGUUGAUGUCUCUUUCUCUCCCCCAACAGAGGUGAUCGUGUCAGGUGAGUUUUGCAGUGAGGACGGCGAUGAGGAGCUUGACGGCCUCUGGGCCACCAUCUCGGUCUUCAUCACCCUCUUCCUUCUGAGCGUGUGCUACAGUGCCACCGUGACCCUGUUCAAGGUGAAGUGGCUUUUCUCCACUGUGGUGCAACUGAGGCGUGCAAGGGGCCCCGAAUACAAGAACGUGAUCCAGCGCGUGGUGUAGGGGAGGCUGCCCCCGUCCGCCCGGAGACAAGGGGCCGGGACUCCCGGCUCUAUUGGUGACACCACCCUGAGUCCCACAGCUGCCCCCCACCACUGCUGUGCCUCUGGGAGACCCCCCUGGGGGAAGCGAGGAGCUCACCCCACAUGGCCUAAUCAGCACUUAGCCCCUGGGGACGCUGCCCUGCUGGGAGCUGGGCUGAGACCGGACAACUUGUACCAUGCAGGGAACCAGCGCCCCUAGCAAGGAAACAACCUGAGUGCCACUUCCCACCUUCCUGAGCCCAACAGCCCCCUGCUCUGGGACUGGAUCAGAGCCAGCAGCCCCUAGAGCAGAAAGGCUCCAUGUCCCAUUCCCCCACCCUGGGGCUAGAUUGGAGCUGGUGCCCCUUAGUGGGUAAGGGCUCUGUGCCCCAUUCCCUGUCCCCCUGAGCCAGCCAGCCCCCCACCUGGGGCUGGAUCACAAGUGGCUUUGUCUCUGUUGCUCUGAAUGUUGUGUAUUUAGCUCCCGGCUCUUUUUUGUGACUUUUGUGGUUUGCACUGAGUGACCGUAAAUAAAUAAAUAUUCAAUGCGG
Molecule: non-coding RNA, 838 nt
Organism: Chelonia mydas (Green sea turtle)
Lineage: Eukaryota; Metazoa; Chordata; Testudines; Cheloniidae
Source: the annotation of a RefSeq genome assembly